GACGAACGCUGGCGGCGUGCUUAACACAUGCAAGUCGAACGGAAAGGCCCUGCUUUUGUGGGGUGCUCGAGUGGCGAACGGGUGAGUAACACGCGAGUAACCUGCCCUUGACUUUGGGAUAACUUCAGGAAACUGGGGCUAAUACCGGAUAGGAGCUCUUGCUGCAUGGUGGGGGUUGGAAAGUUUCGGCGGUUGGGGAUGGACUCGCGGCUUAUCAGCUUGUUGGUGGGGUAGUGGCUUACCAAGGCUUUGACGGGUAGCCGGCCUGAGAGGGUGACCGGCCACAUUGGGACUGAGAUACGGCCCAGAAUCCUACGGGAGGCAGCAGUGGGGAAUAUUGCACAAUGGGCGGAAGCCUGAUGCAGCAACGCCGCGUGCGGGAUGACGGCCUUCGGGUUGUAAACCGCUUUCGCCUGUGACGAAGCGUGAGUGACGGUAAUGGGUAAAGAAGCACCGGCUAACUACGUG
This 468-nucleotide ribosomal RNA is filed under the name uncultured bacterium. RNAcentral describes it as "partial 16S ribosomal RNA". It matches the Rfam family "Bacterial small subunit ribosomal RNA", at positions 28 to 507 of the family's 1533-position model. The record is from RNAcentral.